Molecule: ribosomal RNA, 1381 nt
Filed under: Curtobacterium sp. ECP30
Lineage: Bacteria; Bacillati; Actinomycetota; Actinomycetes; Micrococcales; Microbacteriaceae
Description: bacterial SSU rRNA
Rfam family: Bacterial small subunit ribosomal RNA
Source: RNAcentral
UGCAAGUCGAACGAUGAUGCCCAGCUUGCUGGGUGGAUUAGUGGCGAACGGGUGAGUAACACGUGAGUAACCUGCCCCUGACUCUGGGAUAAGCGUUGGAAACGACGUCUAAUACUGGAUAUGACUGCCGGCCGCAUGGUCUGGUGGUGGAAAGAUUUUUUGGUUGGGGAUGGACUCGCGGCCUAUCAGCUUGUUGGUGAGGUAAUGGCUCACCAAGGCGACGACGGGUAGCCGGCCUGAGAGGGUGACCGGCCACACUGGGACUGAGACACGGCCCAGACUCCUACGGGAGGCAGCAGUGGGGAAUAUUGCACAAUGGGCGAAAGCCUGAUGCAGCAACGCCGCGUGAGGGAUGACGGCCUUCGGGUUGUAAACCUCUUUUAGUAGGGAAGAAGCGAARKUGAYCGUACCUGCACAAAAAGCACCGGCUAACUACAUGCCMGCASCCGCGGUAAUACGUAUGGUGCAAGCGUUGUCCGGAAUUAUUGKKCKUAAAGAGCUCGUACGCGGWUUGUCGCGUCUGCUGYGAAAUCCCGAGGCUCAACCUCAGGCUUGCAGUGGGUACGGGCAGACUAGAGUGCGGUAGGGGAGAUUGGAAUUCCUGGUGUAGCGGUGGAAUGCGCAGAUAUCAGGAGGAACACCGAUGGCGAAGGCAGAUCUCUGGGCCGUAACUGACGCUGAGGAGCGAAAGCAUGGGGAGCGAACAGGAUUAGAUACCCUGGUAGUCCAUGCCGUAAACGUUGGGCGCUAGAUGUAGGGACCUUUCCACGGUUUCUGUGUCGUAGCUAACGCAUUAAGCGCCCCGCCUGGGGAGUACGGCCGCAAGGCUAAAACUCAAAGGAAUUGACGGGGGCCCGCACAAGCGGCGGAGCAUGCGGAUUAAUUCGAUGCAACGCGAAGAACCUUACCAAGGCUUGACAUACACCGGAAACGGCCAGAGAUGGUCGCCCCCUUGUGGUCGGUGUACAGGUGGUGCAUGGUUGUCGUCAGCUCGUGUCGUGAGAUGUUGGGUUAAGUCCCGCAACGAGCGCAACCCUCGUUCUAUGUUGCCAGCGCGUUAUGGCGGGGACUCAUAGGAGACUGCCGGGGUCAACUCGGAGGAAGGUGGGGAUGACGUCAAAUCAUCAUGCCCCUUAUGUCUUGGGCUUCACGCAUGCUACAAUGGCCGGUACAAAGGGCUGCGAUACCGUAAGGUGGAGCGAAUCCCAAAAAGCCGGUCUCAGUUCGGAUUGAGGUCUGCAACUCGACCUCAUGAAGUCGGAGUCGCUAGUAAUCGCAGAUCAGCAACGCUGCGGUGAAUACGUUCCCGGGCCUUGUACACACCGCCCGUCAAGUCAUGAAAGUCGGUAACACCCGAAGCCGGUGGCCUAACCCUUGUGGA